This 422-nucleotide ribosomal RNA is filed under the name uncultured Gammaproteobacteria bacterium. Its description in RNAcentral is "bacterial SSU rRNA". It matches the Rfam family "Bacterial small subunit ribosomal RNA", at positions 608 to 1029 of the family's 1533-position model. Lineage: Bacteria; Pseudomonadati; Pseudomonadota; Gammaproteobacteria. The record is from RNAcentral.
CUCAACCUGGGAACGGCAUCCGGAACUGUCAGGCUAGAGUGCAGGAGAGGAAGGUAGAAUUCCCGGUGUAGCGGUGAAAUGCGUAGAGAUCGGGAGGAAUACCAGUGGCGAAGGCGGCCUUCUGGACUGACACUGACGCUGGGGUGCGAAAGCGUGGGUAGCAAACAGGAUUAGAUACCCUGGUAGUCCACGCCGUAAACGAUGUCGACUAGCCGUUGGGGUCCUCGAGACCUUUGUGGCGCAGUUAACGCGAUAAGUCGACCGCCUGGGGAGUACGGCCGCAAGGUUAAAACUCAAAUGAAUUGACGGGGGCCCGCACAAGCGGUGGAGCAUGUGGUUUAAUUCGAUGCAACGCGAAGAACCUUACCUACCCUUGACAUCGUGCGGACCAUCCAGAGAUGGAUGGGUGCCUUCGGGAGCGC